Molecule: ribosomal RNA, 419 nt
Filed under: uncultured bacterium
Lineage: Bacteria
Description: bacterial SSU rRNA
Rfam family: Bacterial small subunit ribosomal RNA
Source: RNAcentral
AUGGGAACGCGAAGAACCUUACCUAGACUUGACAUCUCCUGAAUAGUGUAGAGAUACAUGAAGCCCUUCGGGGCGAGGAAGACGGGUGGUGCAUGGUUGUCGUCAGCUCGUGUCGUGAGAUGUUGGGUUAAGUCCCGCAACGAGCGCAACCCUUAUUACUAGUUGCUACCAUUAAGUUGAGCACUCUAGUGAGACUGCCCGGGUUAACCGGGAGGAAGGCGGGAUGACGUCAAAUCAUCAUGCCCCUUAUGUCUAGGGCAACACACGUGCUACAAUGGUGAGUACAGAUAGAUGCGAUACCGCAAGGUGGAGCCAAACUCUAAAACUCAUCCCAGUUCGGAUUGUAGGCUGCAACUCGCCUACAUGAAGUUGGAAUUGCUAGUAAUCGCGAAUCAGAAUGUCGCGGUGAAUACGUUCCC